RNAcentral lists this ribosomal RNA (503 nucleotides) under Streptomyces sp. BC586. RNAcentral's name for it is "bacterial SSU rRNA". It matches the Rfam family "Bacterial small subunit ribosomal RNA", at positions 43 to 571 of the family's 1533-position model. Lineage: Bacteria; Bacillati; Actinomycetota; Actinomycetes; Kitasatosporales; Streptomycetaceae. The record is from RNAcentral.
UCGGGAACACAUGCAAGUCGAACGAUGGAAGCCUUCGGGGUGGAUUAGUGGCGAACGGGUGAUUAACACUUGGGCAAUCUGCGCUUCACUCUGGGACAAGCCCUGGAAACGGGGUCUAAUACCGGAUAACACCGGCUUCCGCAUGGGAGCUGGUUGAAAUCUCCGGCGGUGAAGGAUGAUCCCGACGGCCUAUCAGCUUGUUGGUGGGGUAAUGGCCUACCAAGGCGACAACGGGUACCCGGCCUGAAAGGGCGACCGGCCACACUGGGACUGAGACACGGCCCAAACUCCUACGGGAGGCCCAGUGGGGAAUAUUGCACAAUGGGCGAAACCUCAUGCACCACACCGGUUGAGGGAUAACGGCCUUCGGGUUGUACACCUCUUUCAGCAGGGAACAACGAUAUUGACGUACUUGCAGAAAAAGCGCGGCUAAUUACUUCCCAGCACCCGCGGUGAUACUUAGGCGCAACCGUUGUCGGGAAUUAUUGGCCUUUAAAAACUCU